GGGGACACGAGGUCAUGUGGCGGCCUUGGUGGACUUAGGCAGCAAUCCCAUCGAUAUCUCUCUGGGCCUGGACACAGUAUCGGAUAUCAGGAAUGGUCUGAUGUAUUUCCAAUAAUAGAAAACCAGCUCAUAUUUCUUUCCUACGAGGAAAAUAUCAGGAUAUCUAGUUGGAUACUAUAUCAAAGAAUUGAGGAAACUACCGACCGCCAACUGAGGAGUAGGCAAAUGACAGUGAAGGGCGAAAUCUUCCAUGUUUGCUAUAAAUAUCCAUAGACGAAUCUGGUAAACGAACGGGUUGUAAAUCCAACAUCGGGAUUCGUCCCCGGCAAAGUUUACAGGGUAGGAUCAACUGAAACGCGCUUACGCGUGGACAAAGCGUACGUUGAGCAAAAAGGGAAAAAAAGAAAAAAGGGUAAGGAAAACGGUGGCUGCAUGGAAUGUCGAACAUGCGCGAAGAGAUGAUUAAAACGGAAAGGAAAGGAAAAGGAAAGGAAAGUAAAGAGAGUGGAAAACAAAAUACUAUAAGUCAUUUGUAUGAAAGAAAAAAAGAGAAAGAAAG
This 559-nucleotide small RNA is filed under the name Histoplasma ohiense. Its description in RNAcentral is "hypothetical lncRNA". The record is from RNAcentral. Lineage: Eukaryota; Fungi; Ascomycota; Eurotiomycetes; Onygenales; Ajellomycetaceae.